CGAAACCUAACCCAUUUCCCCUAAGCCGCUGCCCUAAAACAUUCUCAAUCCUCCGCUUCUUUCUUUUCUGAAACCCUAAUAGCCCCCUCCUUUAACUCUCUCCGAUUCCUACCCCAAAAUAGAAUGAAUGCAUUAUUCCCUUACCUUAUACGUUCUGUCAUCUUGUUACUUGCACGACUUGAGCAUCACCUAGUACUUGCCUAUUUUUGGAAAGCACCUGGCCUUGAUUUAUGAACAACCAUCCUCAAUCUUCGAGACAUGUGGUAUUUUAUCUAUAUGUACUCACCACCGGGUUGUAUGGGUCCGAUUUACCAAGAUCAUCGGCCAAUCUUUGAUUUAUGUUGAACUAGGGUUUGAAAUUCCAAGUUUUUUCUUUAUUGGUUCUAUUAUCGAUUACAUGUGAUUUUCUUUACUUAUUUGUAUUUGAUUAAUUAUUUUCCAUGUUACUCGCUUGAUUCUACCACUAUAUAACCCUUCGCUAGCUUCCCCUUGGGAGUGACCGAAUUAUUACUUCUAUUACUUUCACUAUUCUCUUCUUUUACUCGUUCACUUAUUUUGAUACAGUUGAAUAUUUUUUGAAACUGUUGAAUUCUGGGCUGGCUAUAAGCCAAUGCCAUAAUACUAUUGAAACGACCUUCUCCGAUGCAAGCACUACUCGGAGCCCUUCUCGAAGCUAUCGUCAACUCUGAAGCAUCGGCGAUUUGGCGUUCCAUUGUCUUCUUUCAAUUGAUGUUACUGAAUCACUAUUGAUAUAUUAAAUUCCUUACUCUUUUGCUCAUUUAACUUUGCUACUGGUUAGUGUCUUUGACUCUUACAAUUUUAACUAUCUCCCUUUUUGUUUGUCUAUGACAUGUGUGUUCUGUGUGCCAAUGUUGCUUAAACUUUUUGUAACUAAGCAUGAUUCAGUUUUUCUUGCUAUUCGUGGAUACCUAGUAUUGUGUUAGUGUAUUCCUUACUGCAAUUAUAUUGUCUUCAAAAUUCCCUGCAGUUCUACAUUUUCUAGUAGUUGAAUUCAAUAGGCUUAAACAUAUGUAAUAUGCUUCUAGGUAUAGAUUCUAAUCUUAUUAAGUUCUACUAAACUAAUGUGUGUUUCCUACCUUGUCAUGUAUCUUUGUGUCUGUGUUUCAGACCUUUUUGAGUUAUUCUCUCCUAACAUGAUAAUUUUCUAAGUUUAUAUUUAAUUAGCUAAGGCAUGUUUCCAUGCCAUUUAAGUUCUAAUAUAUGUUUGAUUUGUUAAUCUUAUGUCUUUAGAAUUGAUUCUAGAGCAAAUUUCUAUGUUAGCUUCUCUCAUAUCUGGGUAAUUGGUAUGAGUGGUUAUGCUUUCCUGACCUAUUCCUCUUAAGUGAUAUAUAUUUUCAUGAAUUUUGACAUUGUUGUGGUCUGUUGUAGACCAUGCUACUAGCUUGUUGUUGUACUGCUUGUGAUCAUGUUAGGCUCGCAUGUUAUAAAUCAUCACGUGAAAUUUCUAUCCCUCUGACUAUAAUUACUAUGAAUAAGGCUCACUUGUCUAAAGACUUUCUCACUAAUUCUUACUAAUAUCUCGUGCUAAACUUGAUUUCUGGAAACUUUGCAUGUGUAUGUAUGUUUAACCUAUUAACUCAAUAGACCUGCUUCUUAAGCUCUCCUAAUGUGUGACUGUGUUCAGCAUGCUAUUCUCUUUCCUUUGUUGAAUUAUUUCUCAAUAUGGUGUCAGUUUUCUAUGCCAAACUUGCUAUUGUUGAAGCUGUCCACCUAUUUGGCAUGUUCAAGCCCUCUUGUUUGAACAAUCUUCUUCUCUUAGCUUCUACAAAGUGAUGAUAUGUUUAUGUAAUCAUGUCCCUAUGAGGCAUCAGUGUUAAUAGACAUUAGAUUUGUCAAUUGGUUUCCAUUUAUGGUUCCUCCAUCUAGGCCUGGUACGAGUUCAUGUAUGGCCCCAGGUUGUGCAAUUGAUGCACUCUCACGUUUGAGGUGCGCUUGGAUCUGGGUCUACUAUUUGUAUGAAAAGUGAGCUUGCUGAUAAUUAGUAAAAGAGGGGGAAUAUGGUACUAUAAUUCUCAUGUGAAUGGAUAUAAAACAUGCUUAUAUGAUCUAUGUUGUCUAUUUGAUAUUUGCUUUACACGCUUUUAGUUUCAUGUGCAGAAAGUAUGCCGAUAGGAGUCAUGUGCACACACCUCACUUAACUUGUCAAAACAUGUUAGUUCAAGUAUAUACAUGUUUCCACGUCUACUAACGUAUGCACUUAAACAACAUGCCUAUAAGAUGUGAUAUCACAUGCUUUACUAAUCAAGAUACCAUAAUAAUAAGAUUUCAAAUAACCGAUAGGUGAAAUUGCAUCUAUUACUUUAGUACACUGCCCCACCUAGAUAGCAUGUCUAUAGGAAUAAAUUGUUAUAAAAUCAAUUUAAUUAUCAAUUGUUAGAAAUCUUGCCUAUAGAAUGUUACGCACAUAAGACUAUUUAUGAGGUCAAUAUUGUUAAUACUAGACCAUCAAAGCUGUAUCACUAACUAAUCCCGACUAUUAGGAACCAUGCCUAUAGGACAUAAAUGUCUGCCUGAGGUGCAAGCUUAUAAAAUCAGCAUUAGUAAUCUGGUCACUCGUAUUGCUUUAUUGCCUCACCAACAGUUAGAAAUCAUGCCUAUAGGACUUGCAAUGCUUUAACAUGCAUGUGCACUACUUAUAUAAUACUGGAAAUCAUAAUCACGUAGAAUUCCUGCCUAUAGGACUUAACGUUUGUACUUUCGAUCUAAGAAAUCUGUGACUGAUCGUGCUCUUUUAUGCAUAUGUGUGGAGGCUAACUUGAGCUUUUUAUUGCUAUUAUGUGAAACCCUACCUGUUUUUAGUAUCACUUAGUUGUGACGAUCCGGUCGGUCAUCUUAAUAAUUUACACCUCGAUCCCUGAUUAACUGCUUUUCCCAAGUUUAUUUCUGCUUAUUUGAUGUGCAGGGACAUUUGGUUUUGAGUUUCCGAAAGUUUCGGGACACUUAGUCCCUAAUCAAGAGCUUAAGUGUUGGAAAGUUUUUCUUAGUCAGAAAAGUGUGAAGAUGGUCUCGGAAUGGAAAUUCAGUGGUUCUAUUAGCUUUGUUAGGUGAUUUCGGGGUUGGGAGCGUAUUCGGAAUGUAUUUUGGAGGUCUGUAGCUAAUUUAGGCUUGAAAUACAAAAGUUUGAAAUUUUGAAGUUUCGUUUUGAUAGUUAGAUUUUGAUCCGAGGGCCGAAAUGGAAUUUCGAAAGUUGCAGUAGCUCCAUCAUGUCAUUUGGGAUGUGUGUAUAAAAUUUCAGGUCACUUGGACGUGGUUUGGUUAGUUUUUUUAUCGAAAGUGUGUUUUGAGAGAAUUUGAAGUUCUUAGGCUUAAAUCAUUUGCUAAUUUGAGUUUUCGACGUACUUUUAGGUGGUUUAAGAAUUGGUACAAGUUUAAAUAAUGUUAAGGGAUAUGUCCAUAGGUUUGGUUGAGGUCCCGGGGGCGUCCGGUGUGUUUUGGAUGCUCAACGGAGCAUUUUGGAGUUGCAAAAAAUUGUAGAAAAUCCUCAGCUGUUGCAGACCAAUUUCCUUCUUCGCGUUCGUGCCACCUCUCCCGCGUUCGUGAAGCUCUAUCCUCUUCCUCGUUUGCAUUCGCAUGAAGCCUGCCACAUUCGCUAAGCUUCAUCUUUUCUCCGUUCGCGUUUGCAGCCAAAUCAUCACAUUCACGUAGUUCUAUUAUGGGUGUUAAACAGUCCGGGUUAACCUGGUUCCAGGCCGGCCCAGACCGGUUGAACCCGAAAUCGGCCCUACCAGUUAGAAGGGGCUGGGCUAGGCUGGGCAGGGGAGUUAGGAGGGUUGGUCUGUUUAUUUUUUUGAAAAAGGGUAACCGGCUCGGUUGAAACUUGUGGGCCACAAUGACCGUUGGCAACGGUCAGACCUUGAUUUGGUUCGUUAGCCAACGGAAAUAUUGCAUAAAUAGCCUUUUUAAAUUUUUAAUCCUUUUUCAAGUUACAAAACUAACCUUCUCUAAAACUAUAAAUACCCCCCGGGUAACCGGACCGGUUGAACCCGGAAGAGUGAACAGUAACUCUUGCAGGGUUAACCGGCCCGAUUCAAACGGCUAAUUCAUUUUUUUAUUUCAAAAUUUGUGGGCCCCACUGACCAUUGGCAACGGUCAGACCUUGAUUUGAUCCGUUGGCCAACUGAAAUAUUGCAUAAAUAGCAUUUUUUUAAUUUUUAAUCCUUUUUCAAUUUACAAAACUAACCUUCUCUAAAACUAUAAAUAUCCCCCCUCCCCCUUCUCUUCUUCAUUUCUUCACUCAAUACUGAUUUCUCAAUCUCAAUUUCUCUCAUUCUUCAAUUUUCACGAUUUCAAGUCUCAAUCUCAAAUUCUCAAUUCUCAAUUCUCAAUUCAAGUUAAAUCAUGCCUCGUACUUCUAGAAUGCGUUCAUAUGUAUGGGAACACUUUGAGGCGGUAGAAGAGAAUGAAGAAGGUUAGAAAGUAAAGUGCAAGAACAGUGGUCAAGUAUUAAAUUUUCGUUCAGAGUCUGGCACAGGCAGUUUAAGGAGGCAUAUAAAGUAUUAUCUUGAGCGUCCUCCGGAAAUUCGUAUUUAAGAUUUCUCGAUAAUUUGUGUUAUUUUAAAAUUAUUAGACGUAUUUAUACUGAAUGUUUUAGUUUGUUAAAUGAGUAAGAAUUUUUGAAGUAUUAUUAAUUUAUUAUGCAUGAAAAUUUAGUUUUACUAUUUUUUUGUUAAUUUACUUUUUAUUUAUUAUGCAUGAAAAUUUAAUUUUACUAUUUUUUUAUUAAUUUACUUUUUAAAUGCAAACUUUAAUUUUGAAUGUUGAAGUAAAUGUAGCACUUGCAAUUUAUAUUACUACAAAGUAUUAAUAUAACUUGUGAUAUUUAAAUUAAUACAAAGUAUUAGUAUAACUUAAAAUAGUUAUACAAAAUACAAAAAAAAUUAAAAAAUACACUAAAUCUGGCCCGGCCUGGACCCUUUAACCCCUAACCCGUAACCCUUACGGUUCAAUUUUUACCCGGAUGAACCCGAACUCGUUAAACCCAUUAAGCCCCAACCCGUAGCCGGCACGAACCAUAACCCGUACGGGUCCAAAAAAUAGAAACCCGGCCCGGCCCAAUCAACCCGUUUAACACCUAUGAGUUCUAUUUGGCUCCAAGGGCUGGGCCUAUUUACUUCAUCGCGUUCGCAUUCCCUGUGCCGCGUUCGCGUUGCUUUGUUAGCCCAGGCUUCGCGUUCACGUGCUGUUCCUCACGAUCACGAAGAGCAUUUUAGCAGCCUUUAUUUUCCUUCUUUGCGAAUGCGUGACCUUCUCCGCAUUCGCGAUGCAUUAAAUACCUGGACACUGAAGUUAUAAAAUAUUUCAUCAGUGAUUUGAGUCUUAUUUUCCACCAUAGCUAAGCAUUUGAGAGCUUCUUUGAGGGAGAUUCAAGAGGGAAUCAAGGAAAAAUGAUUGGAGGUAAGAUUUUUGAACCUAAAACGUGAUUCUAUUGUGACGUUUACCUAGAAAAUCAUGGAAUUUAACUGAAAAGGGAAGAACUAGGGCUUGAUAUUUUUAAAUUGUAAUCUGGGAUUUGCGAGGUCAUUUGAGCUUCGAUUUUUGUGUUAUUGUUAUGUAUAAACUUGUGAGAGUAUGAGGUGUCCAAAAAUAUAAGUUUAUCCCGAUUCCGAGACAAUGUCUUGAGGGGCAUUUUGGUUAUUUUACCUAAUUUCACGUCUUAGCUUUGAAUUAAAUAGUAGAAUCAGUUGUUUGAGAUGUUAUUUACGAUAUGUAAUUGAAUUGAAUAGAUUUGGGCCAUUCGGAGCCGGAUCGAGGUAAGUGGCUUGUCUAAUAACGAGUGGGGGACUUCUUCCCUUAGGAUAUGAUAUUUGGUAAUUGAAUUGCCUUGUGCGUGAGGUGACAAGUGCGUGCUUGCGCAAGUUGUUGUAAAAUCUGAUUUUUCUUAAAGUAUUCCUUAGCAUGUCCCUUUUCCCUUGCUUUACUGUAAUUGCAGAUUUAACAUGUUGUUAGUUAGAAAAGCGUGUUUAGUUGACUUAAAUUACCUAUUUGCUUAAACUGCGUUAAUUGCAUUACGUGCAACAUGUUAGGAUAGAAUUGACUGUUUACUUAUACGAAGUUGGCCUUUAAUUUAAUAUUCGUGUGCCACUGCUGUUUAUUUUAAAUUGGAACUACAGAAUGGCAUUCCGGGAGAUCCCCUGUAUGGUAGUUAUGAUUUGGACUGAGGUGUGGGAUACUAAGAGAUCCCUGACAUUUAUAUUGAGGAUACCAAGAGAUCCUCAGGAUACCACAAGAUCCCUGACAUUUAUAUUGAGGAUACCAAGAGAUCCCUGACAUUUAUAUUGAGGAUACCAAGAGAUCCUCGGGAUACCAAGAGAUUCUUGGCAUUUAUAUUGAGCAUACCAAGAGAUCACCGGGAUACUAAGAGAUCCAUGGUUAUUAUUAUUCUUGUUGGGAGCAGUCUGUCAUUAUAUUGAGGAUACUAAGAGAUACUCGGGAUACCAAGAGAUCUAUAUUGAGGAUACCAAUAGAUCCUCAGGAUACCAAGAGAUCCAUGAUAUUUAUAUUGAGGAUACCAAGAGAUCCUUGGGAUACUAAGAGAUCCCUGGUCGUUAUUAUUCUUGUUGGGAGCAACAUUUCCUUGUGUUUUGCCUUUAUUUCUGUUUUUCUGUUCUGGUACUCUUAUUAUCUAUAUAAACUCUUGCUAUAGAUUCUCAAUUAUACUGUUUAUCUUAUCCUGUCAUUAUUAAUUUCAUUUUAACUCAGUAGGGCCCGACCUUCCUUGUUACUACUCAACCAAGGUUAGGCUUGGCACUUACUGAGUACUGCUGAGGUGUACUCAUGCCCCUUCUGCGCAUAUUUUUUUUCAUGUGUAGAUCCAGGUACCUCAACCCAGGCAUAUUAUCCUCGAGGCGGAGAGAUCUAGAAGAGAUUUCAAGGUACAUCUGUUGCAUCCGCAAACCGGGAAUCUUUAUCUUAUUCUAGAUUGAGCAGUUAGCUUUUCUUUCGUACUGUUGUUUUAGACAUUCUGAAGUUAGAGCAGUGUAUCACAUUUUGUUAGCUUGUGUUCUCGUGAGUUUUUGGGUUUUGGGAUAGCAUUGUAGUAGUUGAGAUAUUGAGUCGUAUAUUCCAAACGGCAUCUAUAUAUAGGUUUUCUUCUAGUUGUUCAGUUUUAAGUUAUUAUAUUACACAAGUUAUAAUGUUUUCGCAUUGUUAGGCUUACCUAGUCAGAGGGAAUAGGUGUCGUCACGACAUGUUCACGGAGGGCGAACUGGCAUUGUGACACUAAUUUUUAUCAUUUGAGCAUCUUAAGUAAGUCUAAAACCACCCAAAUAGAGGUCCAAAGCCUCCUGGACUAUAGGUAUGGGAAGGGUAGUGCACGCAUAGGGUACGACCUAGAAUUGAAUUAAAAUGCUUUUGGGUAAACAACUUCAACAUAGUAAUCGGGUAGCAAGAGAUGAUAGUCUGUGCUCUCUGAAUAAUAUGAGCAACUCCACCUAAAGGUAAGUUACAAAGUAUAUCUAUGUUGCACGAGGUGAUCCUUUAGGCUAAAAAACUUAGAUCCCCCUCCUUUAUAUAUUUGAUAUCCAUACUUAGUCGUUUAAUAUUAACUAGUUUAAUUGUAUCCUUGUAGUCAUAAUUUCAUAUGUAUCUAUUUUUAUAUGUUAUAAUAAUACUCUUCAACUUCUAACCUCUCUUUAUUUGAUCACUUAGCCUAAUUACAUAAUCCCUAUAGUUUAAAGUUCGGUCAGGACCCACAAUUACGGACCCUGGAGAGGAGAAUGUGCAAUGCCUUAUCUCCGAGGUAAUUUGAGCCCUUACCCAAUAUUUGGGGACAUACUAGUUAAAGCAAAGUUACUUGAAAAUAGGUGCCUUAAUGCACCUUAAAAAUCAUUAGGUGGAUAUUUUUUUCUUUUAAUACCUAUUUAAAAGAGUUGUCACAUGCCAAAACCCGUUUUUGCGAGAAAAUGGGGGCGCGAUAGCAUGUCGAGUCUGCUAGGGAUGUACAUUUACGCUCUUACCAUAAUGAACUUAACUUCUGUGAAUUACUUUAUUUGAAAAAUGCACAUCACCUAUUCACAUUUAUUUGUUUAAAUUUUCUAUGACAUGUACAUCCCUUCUCUAUUUACCUUUAGAUUUUGCUACGAUAUCUUUCCCCUAUUUUCCUUUGAUUGCUAUGACCACUCUUCAUCUCUUUUCAUCUUGUCUAAAACUGCUAUAUCAUGCCUCUCCCAUCCCUACUUUAUUACUUACUUUAUUACAUUCAUGCAUAGUUUUUUAUGUACUAAACUGACUACUUUCUUUUGGCUUUCUUCUCUAUUUUUUCCAUGUUUAGUUUCGCUAUCUUAUUUACAAUUUUUUAUAUAUUCUAUCAUGCAAAUACUUGGCAAUAUGAUAUUAUUUAUGCAUAAAGCAUGCUCCACGUCAUACUUACUCGUUCCAAUUAUCAAUAUAGCGGCACACUUGAUGAGUGUCCGCGCUCUUCCAAAAUUACCUUGUUAAAUCGAAAAGGCUUAUUUGCGGUAGACUAGUUGCUCAGCAGGCAAUCGACGGUUACGUGCCUUUCCUCUCAAGUUGUCCACUUGGAGUACCAGUCUAGACCAUUCUAAAAACCUUACUCCAACACGAAAUGUACAUGCAUCAUGCUCUACCUAGUACGGGUUGGAGCGUUAUUAACGUUACAACCCGCUAUGAUGAACCUUGUACAAAGUCCGAUAAGAUUUCCACAAUCCCAAUAGACACUAUCAUAUUAUGUGCAUUACUUGGGAAAAAUGUGCCAACGUGUUGAUCAUUAUUGCAUAAGUAGUCAAAUCUGGAGAGAAAAAAGGAUAACCUUUGUUUCUUUGUAGAAAAUGAAGCAUGAAGACCCCAGGUUCAGUAUGGUCCAAAAUAUUCCACCUUUGCUACUUGACUGGUUGAAAGACCUUGCACCUUGUGACAAGAUUCAUGUGAGAAGAGUACUUGGUAACUUACCAUCUUUGAUAAACAUUUGAUCGAAUAGGGAAUUUAUUGAGGCCACUACCAUGUUUUGGGAUGAGAAAAGAGUCAUUUUUUAUUUGGCAAUAUAUAAAUGACUCCUCUCCUAGAAGAAAUAAGAGGCUUCUCCACGUUACCAUGUGAUAGUCCGAGAUUACUAGUACCAGAGAAUCGCACCCCGAGCGAUUUCUAAAUAUGUUGGGUUUUAAGAAAAAUGAUGAGUUGCUUUUUUAAGAAGUCAUACAUCCCUUUUGAAUUUAUUUAUGAGCGUUAUGGGCAUAUCAAGUUGUAACGUAUUCAUCAUGAUGAAAUUUCCACUACUUCUUUGGGCUGGACGUACCGUCGAGUUUAUGUGUUCAUCGUUUUCUUCUUAGGGUCAUUGAUAUUUCCAAUGAGGGGG
Molecule: long non-coding RNA, 9331 nt
Filed under: Nicotiana benthamiana
Lineage: Eukaryota; Viridiplantae; Streptophyta; Magnoliopsida; Solanales; Solanaceae
Description: long non-coding RNA (NBEN_LNC041345)
Source: RNAcentral